UGUUUGACUACAUAUGUUCUAGCGCCCGUUAAUUUAACGGGCUUAAUGUCUAGUAGUAAAUAUUCCCCUUAGUGUCAGUCAAUCGCUGUAGUGUCCAUCUCUAAUUGAAGUGAAGGGAAGAUGCUCUUAGAAAGGCUCUGCAUCAUUGACUAUAGAUAUUUUUUUCAUUGUCCCUUUAUUUGGAAGGGCUGUUUUUUCUGGAUAAAUGAGAAGUCUGCUGCCUGAAUAUGGAAUAAUCAUCUUUCAGUCAGCAGAGUUACCAGAGAGAGAGGCUGUUAGUAAUAAAGCAAGCAAGUCUUGUUUAGAAAGUUUUAGAAUGCCUUUGAAACGUACAUUUUCUCUUCUGGACCUGUUCUCCCAAUACUUAGCUUUUAUUUUAUUUUUUUUCCAGAUACAACAAUUUAUUUUUUGUGGAGUAAGAGUUAUCUUCUAUGAAAGAAAUUCUGUCUUCCGUCUCUGAAAUACAGUCAUUUUGAGAGGGCGGUGCAACUGGACCCCAAUUCUACUUUGGAAAAGACAGUCCAUCAACUUUUUGCCUGCCUUGCCUGAAGCAGAGACCUAGGACAAGAUACAGUACAUAAGGAACACAAAGAAGAAGUCAUUGUGCCCUGGGAAUGUUGCUGGCAUGCAAUGGUAUCUUCCUUUUUCUGGUUCCAGUUGCAUCUACAGGACAUACAGUCUGACACCAGUGUGCAACAGGUGAUUGGUGAGUGUUGUUUUUGAUGCAGAAUGUCUUCGCUAGAAUAACAUAAGCAUUUCACCAGUCCUCGAGUUCAUCAGUUAACGAGGUAAUUAACCUUCAUGAAACACAUUGUUGUCAAAUAGUAAUCCACUAAUAACUGUAGUCUUUUUAUUUCUUAUUUCUGUUUUUCUAAAAUGUUUUGUAUUAAAAAUGUAUUUAUUUUGCACCCCCCCACUGACAUUUUAAAGAAUAACAAUAGCUUAUGUAUCUUUUCCCCAAAUGUAAUAAAAGGCACUAAGUUUGCCCAGGGGCAGUAGCGCAUAGCAACCAGUAAGUUGU
Xenopus laevis (African clawed frog) is the source of this 1021-nucleotide long non-coding RNA. RefSeq lists it as uncharacterized. The record is from RefSeq and is a predicted model, not a curated record. NCBI's taxonomy places the organism in Eukaryota, Metazoa, Chordata, Amphibia, Anura, Pipidae. The transcript is spliced from 4 exons.